ACAAAGUGUGCCCACCAUUUUACUAGCAUGGUGUUUAUUAUUUUAUUAAGUUGACAACGUAUGUGAAUUCUUUUUUCAAAUUAUGGUCACUUGCUAUCGAUAAGUCUUCUUUUUUUUUGUACUGAAAAAUUGAUAUUUAUAGACCAGGCUGAUUUUGGACAAAAAGGUGUGAAGUAAUAUCGUACAAAUGCCUGUUCUGUUGAAUUGAAGUCACACCAUGCAAUUAUAAUUUAUUAUGUCCGAAACAGUCAUGUGUUGGUUUUAUUUUGUGUAUUUCAAACAUAAGACACAAAAACAAUCUGCAGAAGACAUCGAUCAUGAUAAAUUAGUUACGCUCUAAACAGACCUAUAUGUGUAUGACUAUCUUCGUCAUAUGUCCUGGUUGUUUUAUUAUUAUUUUGUCACAAUUUAACGUUUUAGUUUUUAACACCAUCUAUCAGCAUCAAUUUGAACAGGUUUUUCAUUAGUUUAAAAUUUGCUCUCGAAAAAAAAUGACGUUAACAUGGUUAAAUUUCAAAAAUUAAGUUUCCGAUAUUUCGAAUGCCAAAAACAACUCUAAUAGUGAGAUAGAAGAAAGAUACCAAAGGGACAUUAAAACUCAUAUGUCGAAAAUAAACCGACAACACCAUGCAAAUGGAUACAAAAGAAAAAGACUAACUGACAAACAAUAGUACACGAAACACAACAUGGAAAACUAACCUAGAUAGAUUUUUAAAACAUAAGAUGACUUCGCUACGUCGCGUUAUUCAGCCGUUAAACUUUUCCUCAAAAUUUCUUUGACAAACUCUGCAGAGCAUACCACCUAAUUGAAAACAAUAUUAGGGGAAGAUACUCCUGCAUUUGUUAAUUUAUCUGCUGUUAAUGAUAUCCAUUCAGGUUUUUAGUUAAGCAUCAAUGUCAAUAAAUGUGAACUGGUUUAUAUACUGAUAAUACGAACAUAAACGGUUUUACACUAGUAAUUUUUGGGGCUCUUUAUAGCUUGUUGUUCGGUGUGAGCCAAGGCUCCGUGUUGAAGGCCGUACCUUGACCUAUAAUGAUUUACUUUUAUAAAUUGUUAUUUGGAUGGAGAGUUGUCUCAUUGGCACUCAUAACACAUCUUCCUAUAUUUAUGUACGAACUCGUAAAUAAUAACUAUGAGCUAAACUGGUUUUUACUACCGUUUGCAAUAAUACAUUUCAAAAUUGCUAAUUUCUAAACAUGCCACUUUAAUAAUUUUGGAAUUUGGAUGAAACAAUUGUAAACAGUACAAUGCUAAUGCAUUAUAGAAACC
Molecule: long non-coding RNA, 1270 nt
Filed under: Mytilus galloprovincialis (Mediterranean mussel)
Lineage: Eukaryota; Metazoa; Mollusca; Bivalvia; Mytilida; Mytilidae
Source: RNAcentral